GCCAUAUUUAAUCACUUAUUAACCGUUACCUAUAAACAAUAAAUAUAAAUUAGUGAUUUGUGUUUAAAAUAUUAAGUACAUAUGGAACAACAUUCAUCUCGGAUGUGUGACAACUGGCUGCUGUUGCCACCUUCGAUCCGUAUAUUCAGAACUUUCCCUAAUAUCACGGAUUUGCACACACAAAAGUUGAGUGACUCUGCUGCGCGGACUCACGGAAUUCAUUAGCAUGCAAAUUUCAAAGUGCAGCAGUUGGGCGGCAGCAAUCUCUCUCUUUUAUUCCAGCGGGGGCUAUAAAAUCCUCAGAGAUAAGUCUAUAUUUAUGCACAAAUGCAGAUAGUGGAACAAAGUAUU
This 351-nucleotide long non-coding RNA is filed under the name Drosophila guanche. Lineage: Eukaryota; Metazoa; Arthropoda; Insecta; Diptera; Drosophilidae. The record is from RNAcentral.